GUAGGAUUGAAGCAACAUUGAUUUAGUUCUCACUUGAUUCUAUCUAAUAUUUGAAAUAAUAUGCUAGUUCAUGCUAAUGCCAUCAAAUUAUUCCUAGCAUUGGAAUUAAUAGCAUUUCAUAAGCUUCUAAGAUUUAAAAAUUUAGAAAUUUUGUAAUAUUCAAAGACAAAUGGUGAAAUUGAUUUUUGUCAAAUUCUAACAAUAUCCAAUAUUAUGGCUUAAUGCUCUUCAAGUCCUUUGCAGCUUCUUUGAAUACAAUCCAAACUUUUGAGAAUUUGAUGUUAAAAUUUGGAAUAGUUAGUGCUCGUAUUAUUAUCUAAAGAUAUUGUAUAUGUAUUGAGUUUUUGAAUUGCUAUUGUAAAUUCUCAAUUAAAUGGCAAAUAAAAAAUGCAUAUUUGCAUGUUAAAAAUGUUUGAUUGACAAUAUCAUUAAAACCUUUCUAUUGAUCAAAAAUAAAUGUGAAUUUUACAAAUUUAUUGUUCAAUGGAUGGAAUGCAAGAAUUUUUAUCUUCAAAUUUUUUAAAAACCACAGCCAAUUAUUAUCAUUUUUAAUAUUCACAAUGCUAAAUUUAAUAAAAAAUAGUUGCUCUUUUAUAUUAAUUGUUAUAGCAGCAAGAAAUAUCUCAUAAUAUUCUCCUUUCCAAUGCAUGUUAU
This 654-nucleotide long non-coding RNA is filed under the name Physcomitrium patens. RNAcentral describes it as "long non-coding RNA (PPAT_LNC010529)". Lineage: Eukaryota; Viridiplantae; Streptophyta; Bryopsida; Funariales; Funariaceae. The record is from RNAcentral.